This 500-nucleotide ribosomal RNA is filed under the name uncultured bacterium. RNAcentral's name for it is "partial 16S ribosomal RNA". It matches the Rfam family "Bacterial small subunit ribosomal RNA", at positions 30 to 523 of the family's 1533-position model. The record is from RNAcentral.
AUUGAACGCUGGCGGCAUGCUUUACACAUGCAAGUCGAACGGUAACAGGGUGCUUGCACCGCUGACGAGUGGCGAACGGGUGAGUAAUGCGUCGGAACGUGCCGAGUAGUGGGGGAUAACGCAGCGAAAGUUGUGCUAAUACCGCAUACGUACUGAGGUAGAAAGUGGGGGACCUUCGGGCCUCACCCCAUUCGAGCGGCCGACGUCUGAUUAGCUAGUAGGUGAGGUAAAGGCUCACCUAGGCGACGAUCAGUAGCGGGUCUGAGAGGAUGAUCCGCCACACUGGGACUGAGACACGGCCCAGACUCCUACGGGAGGCAGCAGUGGGGAAUUUUGGACAAUGGGCGAAAGCCUGAUCCAGCCAUGCCGCGUGUCUGAAGAAGGCCUUCGGGUUGUAAAGGACUUUUGUCAGGGAGGAAAUCCCUAGCGCUAAUAACACUGGGGGAUGACAGUACCUGAAGAAUAAGCACCGGCUAACUACGUGCCAGCCGCCGCGGUAA